RNAcentral lists this ribosomal RNA (254 nucleotides) under uncultured bacterium. Its description in RNAcentral is "partial 16S ribosomal RNA". It matches the Rfam family "Bacterial small subunit ribosomal RNA", at positions 524 to 776 of the family's 1533-position model. The record is from RNAcentral.
AACGUAGGUGGCGAGCGUUAUCCGGAUUCAUUGGGCGUAAAGAGCUUGUAGGUGGCGGCGUAAGUCGGGCGUGAAAGCCCCGGGCUCAACCUGGGAAUUGCGUUCGAUACUGGAUAGCUAGAGUUCGGCAGAGGGAAGCGGAAUUUCGGGUGUAGCGGUGAAAUGCGUAGAUAUCCGAAGGAACAUCAGUGGCGAAAGCGGCUUCCUGGACCAGAACUGACGAUCAGGCACGAAAGCGUGGGGAAGCAAACAGG